This 101-nucleotide microRNA precursor is filed under the name Marmota monax (woodchuck). The record is from RNAcentral. Lineage: Eukaryota; Metazoa; Chordata; Mammalia; Rodentia; Sciuridae.
AGUGGAAUUCCUGAGUCAUGGAAACACCAUGCUUAAGGUUUUGAGCAAUUGUCAAACUGUUUUCCAAAGUAGUUGCUCCAUUUACCAACCCCACCAGGGGU